UGACAUGAGUGAUGCUCAUGGAUGUUGACAUGAGUGAUGCUCAUGAAUGUUGACAUGAAUGAUGGUCAUGAAUGUUUAUGUAUGAUUGUCAUGAGUGAUGCUCAUGAAUGUUUAUGUAUGAAUGACAUGAGUAGUGCUCAAGUAUAAUUUGGAGUACUAGGCGUACUUUUGAUGACCUGGUUGGUGCUAUUUCAGGCCUAUGGGCCUUUGCCCUCCACAACAUGUCAGCCCAUUUGUUUUGGGCUUUUCCU
This 251-nucleotide long non-coding RNA is filed under the name Malus domestica (apple). RNAcentral's name for it is "long non-coding RNA (MDOM_LNC003951)". Lineage: Eukaryota; Viridiplantae; Streptophyta; Magnoliopsida; Rosales; Rosaceae. The record is from RNAcentral.